GAAAGUUUUCUGAGUUUUGUGUAUAUGCCCUGAUUUUUAUCAAAGUUAAAUUCUACACUGGGUCCUUAAACACAAAGCUAAACAUUGUCCUGUGAUAGAAUCAGGUAAGUCCAUUCCAGAUAUGUUCCAAGGGAAAAGAAAGCAGGUCAACAAGGUUCAUGACAUUUGUGUCAUUGUCCACUACAGCAUUCAUUACUCUCAUAACCAGAAGGUAAACAGACAACGGAGUCCAAGCCUGUCAGCCAGCGAGUGGAUGAACAAGAUGAGGCAGAGCCAGGGCUGGAGAGACAGACCUGCGGCUAAGAGCACUGGCUGCUCUUCCGGAGCAUCCAGGGUUGGCUCCCAGAACCUUCAUGGCUGCUCAACUAUGGCUUCAAGGGGACAGAGGUGAGGUUGAGCCAUGGCUGUGAAGAUGAAGAGAGAAGACUAGCUCGCCUCCAUCCCACCAUUUUAUGUCACUGCUCUGAGGAGACAAAUGACUACUACUUCAAAACGCCUCACAUUUCAGUUCCACGUUAUCACACUACAGUGACUUCUAGAUAAGGAUGCCCGGGCUUCACAGCAUCCUGAGACGUGUUUCUGAACACAGCAUCGUUGCCAUCCAGCCAGUGUCCUCUGGAUCUCCUCGAGAGGGAUGGAAUCUGCAGGACAGCCAGCUCUGCUGUGUUUCUCUUUCUUUUUCUUUCUUUUCUGAGACAGGUUCCCAACAGUGCAGCUCUGGCCGACUUACUAUGCAGAUCAAGAUGCCCUUGAACUCACCAAGAUCUGCCUGCCACUGACUGCCUCCUUGUCUCCCAAAUCCUGGGAUUAAAGGCUUGUGCCAUCACAAAGUUCUGCUUACUAUCAUUGUUGUU
Molecule: long non-coding RNA, 854 nt
Filed under: Cricetulus griseus (Chinese hamster)
Lineage: Eukaryota; Metazoa; Chordata; Mammalia; Rodentia; Cricetidae
Description: lncRNA (ENSCGRG00015037881.1)
Source: RNAcentral